UACGUAGGGACCGAGCGUUGUCCGGAUUCAUUGGGCGUAAAGAGCUCGUAGGCGGUUUGUUGCGUCGGCUGUGAAAUCCCGAGGCUCAACCUCGGGUCUGCAGUCGAUACGAGCAAACUAGAGUGUUGCAGGGGAGACUGGAAUUCCUGGUGUAGCGGUGAAAUGCGUAGAGAUCGGGAGGAACACCAGCGGCGAAGGCGGCGACCUGGACAGGGACUGACACUCAACUACGAAAGCGUGGGGAGCAAACAGG
Molecule: ribosomal RNA, 253 nt
Filed under: uncultured bacterium
Lineage: Bacteria
Description: partial 16S ribosomal RNA
Rfam family: Bacterial small subunit ribosomal RNA
Source: RNAcentral